This 422-nucleotide long non-coding RNA is filed under the name Mytilus galloprovincialis (Mediterranean mussel). The record is from RNAcentral. Lineage: Eukaryota; Metazoa; Mollusca; Bivalvia; Mytilida; Mytilidae.
CUUGAAUAUUAUUAUAGAUAGAGAUAAACUGUAAACAGCAAUAAUGUUCAGCAAAGUAAGAUCUACAAAUAAGUCAACAUGACCAAAAUGGUCAGUUGACCACUUUAGGAGUUAUUGCCCUUUAUAGUCAAUUUUUAACAAUUUUUCGUAAAUCUUAGUAAUCUUUUAGAAAAAUCUUCUCCUCUGAAACUACUGGGCCAAAUUUAACCAAACUUGGCCAUAAUCAUCAUUGGGGUAUCUAGUUUAAAAAAUGUGUCCGGUGCCCCGCACAACCAACCAAGAUGGCGGCCAUGGCUAAAAAUAGAACAUAGGGGUAAUAAUGCAGUUUUUGGCUUAUAACUCAAAAACCAAAGCAUUUAGAGCAAAUCUGACAUGGGGUAAUAUUGUUCAUCAGGUUAAGAUCUAUCUGCCCUGAAAUUUUC